GGCGAACCGGGGGAACUGAAACAUCUAAGUACCCCGAGGAAAAGAAAUCAACCGAGAUUCCCCCAGUAGCGGCGAGCGAACGGGGAGCAGCCCAGAGCCUGAAUCAGUAUGUGUGUUAGUGGAAGCGUCUGGAAAGGCGCGCGAUACAGGGUGACAGCCCCGUACACAAAAAUGCACAUGCUGUGAGCUCGAUGAGUAGGGCGGGACACGUGGUAUCCUGUCUGAAUAUGGGGGGACCAUCCUCCAAGGCUAAAUACUCCUGACUGACCGAUAGUGAACCAGUACCGUGAGGGAAAGGCGAAAAGAACCCCGGCGAGGGGAGUGAAAAAGAACCUGAAACCGUGUACGUACAAGCAGUGGGAGCACGCUUAGGCGUGUGACUGCGUACCUUUUGUAUAAUGGGUCAGCGACUUAUAUUCUGUAGCAAGGUUAACCGAAUAGGGGAGCCGAAGGGAAACCGAGUCUUAACUGGGCGUUAAGUUGCAGGGUAUAGACCCGAAACCCGGUGAUCUAGCCAUGGGCAGGUUGAAGGUUGGGUAACACUAACUGGAGGACCGAACCGACUAAUGUUGAAAAAUUAGCGGAUGACUUGUGGCUGGGGGUGAAAGGCCAAUCAAACCGGGAGAUAGCUGGUUCUCCCCGAAAGCUAUUUAGGUAGCGCCUCGUGAAUUCAUCUCCGGGGGUAGAGCACUGUUUCGGCAAGGGGGUCAUCCCGACUUACCAACCCGAUGCAAACUGCGAAUACCGGAGAAUGUUAUCACGGGAGACACACGGCGGGUGCUAACGUCCGUCGUGAAGAGGGAAACAACCCAGACCGCCAGCUAAGGUCCCAAAGUCAUGGUUAAGUGGGAAACGAUGUGGGAAGGCCCAGACAGCCAGGAUGUUGGCUUAGAAGCAGCCAUCAUUUAAAGAAAGCGUAAUAGCUCACUGGUCGAGUCGGCCUGCGCGGAAGAUGUAACGGGGCUAAACCAUGCACCGAAGCUGCGGCAGCGACGCUGAUGCGUUGUUGGGUAGGGGAGCGUUCUGUAAGCCUGCGAAGGUGUGCUGUGAGGCAUGCUGGAGGUAUCAGAAGUGCGAAUGCUGACAUAAGUAACGAUAAAGCGGGUGAAAAGCCCGCUCGCCGGAAGACCAAGGGUUCCUGUCCAACGUUAAUCGGGGCAGGGUGAGUCGACCCCUAAGGCGAGGCCGAAAGGCGUAGUCGAUGGGAAACAGGUUAAUAUUCCUGUACUUGGUGUUACUGCGAAGGGGGGACGGAGAAGGCUAUGUUGGCCGGGCGACGGUUGUCCCGGUUUAAGCGUGUAGGCUGGUUUUCCAGGCAAAUCCGGAAAAUCAAGGCUGAGGCGUGAUGACGAGGCACUGCGGUGCUGAAGCAACAAAUGCCCUGCUUCCAGGAAAAGCCUCUAAGCAUCAGGUAACAUCAAAUCGUACCCCAAACCGACACAGGUGGUCAGGUAGAGAAUACCAAGGCGCUUGAGAGAACUCGGGUGAAGGAACUAGGCAAAAUGGUGCCGUAACUUCGGGAGAAGGCACGCU
RNAcentral lists this ribosomal RNA (1533 nucleotides) under Escherichia coli. Its description in RNAcentral is "partial 23S ribosomal RNA". It matches the Rfam family "Bacterial large subunit ribosomal RNA", at positions 178 to 1752 of the family's 2925-position model. The record is from RNAcentral. Lineage: Bacteria; Pseudomonadati; Pseudomonadota; Gammaproteobacteria; Enterobacterales; Enterobacteriaceae.